This is a non-coding RNA of Pelobates cultripes (western spadefoot toad), 245 nucleotides long. The record is from the annotation of a GenBank genome assembly. NCBI's taxonomy places the organism in Eukaryota, Metazoa, Chordata, Amphibia, Anura, Pelobatidae.
GAUCUGUGGUGUGACUGACUCCUCCUAUUCGUGUGUCUGUUUGUUUACAAAAAAAUACAAAGAGAAAGCGAGAGAAAACAGGAACCCUCAAUCAAAUGGGCUUUAAUAUGGCACCACCUGCUGACAGUAUCCAAACUGCACUGACCUGAUUCACACUAACAGCCAGACAGCUGCUCUGUGCUACUAGCCAAUAGAGCAGCAUGCUACAAAGUACAAUGUGCAGUCACGUGGGCUUUGAAUGAUUU